CAAUAAAGAACCCGGUGACAGGUGCUGCAUGGCUGUCGUCAGCUCGUGUCGUGAGAUGUUGGGUUAAGUCCCGCAACGAGCGCAACCCUCGCCUUUAGUUGCCAGCAUUCAGUUGGGCACUCUAGAGGGACUGCCGGUGUCAAACCGGAGGAAGGUGGGGAUGACGUCAAGUCCUCAUGGCCUUUAUGUCUAGGGCUACACACGUACUACAAUGGCCGGUACAAGGGGAAGCAAGACCGCGAGGUGGAGCAAAUCCCAAAAAAGCCGGCCUCAGUGCGGAUUGCAGUCUGCAACUCGACUGCAUGAAGUUGGAAUCGCUAGUAAUCGCGGAUCAGCACGCCGCGGUGAAUACGUUCCCGGGCCUU
This 365-nucleotide ribosomal RNA is filed under the name uncultured Desulfovibrio sp. Its description in RNAcentral is "bacterial SSU rRNA". It matches the Rfam family "Bacterial small subunit ribosomal RNA", at positions 1017 to 1382 of the family's 1533-position model. The record is from RNAcentral. Lineage: Bacteria; Pseudomonadati; Thermodesulfobacteriota; Desulfovibrionia; Desulfovibrionales; Desulfovibrionaceae.